ACUGCAGUCGAGCGGACAGAUGGGNACUUGCUCCCUGAUGUUAGCGGCGGACGGGUGAGUAACACGUGGGUAACCUGCCUGUAAGACUGGGAUAACUCCGGGAAACCGGGGCUAAUACCGGAUGCUUGAUUGAACCGCAUGGUUCAAUUAUAAAAGGUGGCUUUUAGCUACCACUUACAGAUGGACCCGCGGCGCAUUAGCUAGUUGGUGAGGUAACGGCUCACCAAGGCAACGAUGCGUAGCCGACCUGAGAGGGUGAUCGGCCACACUGGGACUGAGACACGGCCCAGACUCCUACGGGAGGCAGCAGUAGGGAAUCUUCCGCAAUGGACGAAAGUCUGACGGAGCAACGCCGCGUGAGUGAUGAAGGUUUUCGGAUCGUAAAACUCUGUUGUUAGGGAAGAACAAGUACCGUUCGAAUAGGGCGGUACCUUGACGGUACCUAACCAGAAAGCCACGGCUAACUACGUGCCAGCAGCCGCGGUAAUACGUAGGUGGCAAGCGUUGUCCGGAAUUAUUGGGCGUAAAGCGCGCGCAGGCGGUUUCUUAAGUCUGAUGUGAAAGCCCCCGGCUCAACCGGGGAGGGUCAUUGGAAACUGGGGAACUUGAGUGCAGAAGAGGAGAGUGGAAUUCCACGUGUAGCGGUGAAAUGCGUAGAGAUGUGGAGGAACACCAGUGGCGAAGGCGACUCUCUGGUCUGUAACUGACGCUGAGGCGCGAAAGCGUGGGGAGCGAACAGGAUUAGAUACCCUGGUAGUCCACGCCGUAAACGAUGAGUGCUAAGUGUUAGAGGGUUUCCGCCCUUUAGUGCUGCAGCAAACGCAUUAAGCACUCCGCCUGGGGAGUACGGUCGCAAGACUGAAACUCAAAGGAAUUGACGGGGGCCCGCACAAGCGGUGGAGCAUGUGGUUUAAUUCGAAGCAACGCGAAGAACCUUACCAGGUCUUGACAUCCUCUGACAACCCUAGAGAUAGGGCUUCCCCUUCGGGGGCAGAGUGACAGGUGGUGCAUGGUUGUCGUCAGCUCGUGUCGUGAGAUGUUGGGUUAAGUCCCGCAACGAGCGCAACCCUUGAUCUUAGUUGCCAGCAUUCAGUUGGGCACUCUAAGGUGACUGCCGGUGACAAACCGGAGGAAGGUGGGGAUGACGUCAAAUCAUCAUGCCCCUUAUGACCUGGGCUACACACGUGCUACAUUGGGCGGAAC
RNAcentral lists this ribosomal RNA (1203 nucleotides) under Bacillus glycinifermentans. Its description in RNAcentral is "bacterial SSU rRNA". It matches the Rfam family "Bacterial small subunit ribosomal RNA", at positions 53 to 1240 of the family's 1533-position model. The record is from RNAcentral. Lineage: Bacteria; Bacillati; Bacillota; Bacilli; Caryophanales; Bacillaceae.